UGGGGAAUAUUGCACAAUGGGCGAAAGCCUGAUGCAGCAACGCCGCGUGAGUGAUGAAGGUCUUCGGAUUGUAAAGCUCUGUCUUUUGGGACGAUAAUGACGGUACCAAAGGAGGAAGCCACGGCUAACUACGUGCCAGCAGCCGCGGUAAUACGUAGGUGGCGAGCGUUGUCCGGAUUUACUGGGCGUAAAGGGUGCGUAGGCGGAUGUUUAAGUGAGAUGUGAAAUACCCGGGCUUAACUUGGGUGCUGCAUUUCAAACUGGAUAUCUAGAGUGCAGGAGAGGAGAAUGGAAUUCCUAGUGUAGCGGUGAAAUGCGUAGAGAUUAGGAAGAACACCAGUGGCGAAGGCGAUUCUCUGGACUGUAACUGACGCUGAGGCACGAAAGCGUGGGUAGCAAACAGGAUUAGAUACCCUGGUAGUCCGCGCCGUAAACGAUGAGUACUAGGUGUAGGAGGUAUCGACCCCUUCUGUGCCGCAGUAAACACA
Molecule: ribosomal RNA, 488 nt
Filed under: uncultured bacterium
Lineage: Bacteria
Description: partial 16S ribosomal RNA
Rfam family: Bacterial small subunit ribosomal RNA
Source: RNAcentral